CCAGGAACCUCGGACUGGGCAAACCAUCUGACAUUGGCGUAAGUCCAGCAUCCUGAGAGAGCACCCAGGUGGCAUAACAAAAAACACGAAAACUGGCUCUGCUGGCAGAAGGGCUCUGCAUCUCACACCUUGCCUAUCAUGGCAUUUGGAGGGUUCACGAAUCAGGAGACUCGAUGAAUGCAACAUAGUACUCCAAAGAGAAUCUAGGCUGUACAUACAGGUGCUGGGGCUGCAGUAGAAGAUAAUCCACUUCCAUCAUGGACCAUGGAGAAAGAGAGAAUUCCUGAUUCUGAGAUUCACCUCUGCUGUCAAACCCUAAAAUCUUUUGCUGGUUCCCAUCUUCCAGAAAUACACCUGUAGAUCAGAGAUUAUUGCUGUACCUUUUCCAGGAUAGGCAUUCAAAGGGAAGACAAAUCUAAGUGAUCUUUAACUUUAUAAAGUAUACUUAUCAUUUGUAUUGUUCUGCCAAUCCGUGAAAAAGGCUUUCAAGUCUUGGAGAUUUUAAACUUUCAUUUGCUUGCAAUUCUGCAUAUUUAUGAGAGUCAUAUGCCCUUUUCAGCUUCUAAAGUGUUUUAGAGCAAUAAUUAAAGAAAAAGAUCAUAUCUAAGACUUCAAAUACAUAUACUAUUGCAGUGAAAAAUGAGAUUAAAGAUACUAUUUUGGUCUCUAAUCUUACCUCUUCAUUUUCUAGCCAAAAUGGUAUUAGCUUCUUUAUGUGUAGCUGACUCACCAAAGCAGCAGCAUUUCCGUGCUCAUAUUUUAAAUAAUCAGCAGUCUAUUUUUAUUAAUUUGUCAAAAAAUAAAGAUGUGGGAAAAAAACCUGAGAGAUAUUUGCAAUAACAGCACAGGUUUUGCUUUAAAUAAUCAAUACCCUGAUAUGACUCAUAGCUGGGGUCAAGAGCCAGAGGAACUGAGCUUUCUUUUUUUUCUUUUUUUUUUUUUUUAUUCACAGAUUAAUUAAUUAAAACCUCCAAAAUGUUGCUAUCACACAAAUUGAUACCAGUAGUAACUGAAGAGUCAAAUACCAGUCAGAUGCUGGGUACUGCUUCUUGUCUGGCUGCUGAAGGUGUGACAGUGUUCCUCUUCUCCAGCUGUGGUCUGGGAGCUGGAUUGACUGUAGGACA
This is a long non-coding RNA of Corvus hawaiiensis (hawaiian crow), 1124 nucleotides long. RefSeq lists it as uncharacterized. The record is from RefSeq and is a predicted model, not a curated record. The transcript has 4 exons. NCBI's taxonomy places the organism in Eukaryota, Metazoa, Chordata, Aves, Passeriformes, Corvidae.